CUGCCCCCGCCGUCACCUUCUCGCUACGCGAGCCGGGCUCCCGGGGACCCGGCGGGCCUCCGUUUCCCCGCGGGCCCGGGCUCUUGGCGCGGAAGCGGCGCCCCGAGCG
Molecule: microRNA precursor, 109 nt
Filed under: Equus caballus (horse)
Lineage: Eukaryota; Metazoa; Chordata; Mammalia; Perissodactyla; Equidae
Description: microRNA eca-mir-8920 precursor
Source: miRBase by way of RNAcentral